RNAcentral lists this microRNA precursor (82 nucleotides) under Ovis aries (sheep). RNAcentral's name for it is "miRNA (ENSOARG00000023027.1)". Lineage: Eukaryota; Metazoa; Chordata; Mammalia; Artiodactyla; Bovidae. The record is from RNAcentral.
UAUUGAGUUGGCCAAAAUGUUUGUUCAGGUUUCCCUAUUACAUCUUAUGAAAAGCCCAAAUGAACUUUUUGGCUAACCCAAU